UUCGAACCCCUGGGCUCAAGCAAUCCUUCCGCUUCGGCCUCCCAGAGUGCUAGGAUUAGCAAAUCUUUCUAAUUACCAAAUUUGAAUAGCUAUUUUCUUUACUUUCCAGGAAGUGUUUUCAGACUCUAAGAAUAAAGACAGAAGUUGCAUGAAAAUAGGAGAAUUCUCUUUGGUCUGUUGCUUGGUGGUAUUCUCCAUCUCAAUAAUCCAGAGAGGUGGGGGGUAAGUCAAUUAGCAUGUGAAAGGCAUGCCAUUUUCUCUCCAAGGCCCAGCUCUUCUGAUUUUGAUCCACUUCCCUGCCAUCACGCCAGCGCCCUCCUGUCAUCUGGACUUGGAGCCAGGUUUGAUUAACAGUGAUUACGAUAGCUCUAUACAUUGUAGAGGACUUCGUGCUUUUCCAAGUGCUUCUACAUCCAUGAUAUAUUUUGUUUCCCUCUUUCCCCCAUUUUCUGCAUAUCCAGUUUGUCACUAAGUGCUUACUGGUUCCCUGGAAUAAUGGCUUUUACAUUCCACCACUCCAUUCCCUCCAUUCUGGUCGCUGGCAACAUAAGAAUCACAGCAUAGUGGGGCUGGAAGGAUCCUUGGAGAUCACUUAAUAUGAGUUCCUCGUUUUAUAAAUGAAGAAAGCAAGACCUGAUGCAGUUGGGUAACUUUGUUGAGAUCACAGAGCUCCCCCUGCCCCUUUCAGGCCCUGGGACCACUGCCUUCAAGGCCAUAAAUCAAAGGCUGAUGGCUCAGUUCCCUCCCUUCCAUUCACCCAUCCCAAUUCCAUUCCAUUCUGUAUAAAGUUAGGAGAAAAACUAUUUUUCAAAUUCUAUUUUCUCUCUCUCUCCUCUAGACUUAAUGUGACUUCUUAUUUUCCAAUAUAUUAAAUCAAAAGUGCUUGAGUGGGAUCUAUUAUGUGUUCCUUCUUCAUGAAGUAUGCAUAUCUAUAGUAAAUUAAGUUCUCUUCAAAGUUGAGUGCAAAGAUGGUGCUUGAAAAUAUUUCUUUCAGUAAUAAAUGUUUACAUGAUGUUUCUGAGCUUCCUCCACCACUAUAUACUUUCAUUUUGGCAUGUAUUUGCAUUUUGUUUUCCUGUCACCCUGUUAUCCUGUGAACUCCUUGAAUGAAAGGAGUCAGGUUCUGAGGCACGGAGUAGGUUCCUACUCAAUAUUUCCUUUGUGUGAUUGCAUUGGAUGCACCAAGGGUUGUAGGAGUCCAGAGAAUCACAGGGAAAGGAUCAUUAAUUUUUCUGUAGGAUCAGAUGUGGUGCUAGAGAAAGCUGGACCAACAUUGGAGUUCUGUCUUGAAUUUGCUGGGCUUGGGGAAAGGACAUUUUAGGCAAAUACCCAAGUGACAGAGAGUUCCAACAUCUUGGGUGUGCUUUUAUGCAAGAUGCUCCAGUCUAUCAGAGUAUUGUGAGACUGAAAGCACAGACCUCUGCCAUUCCUUUGCAAUUCAGUUGAUUACUCGAGAAAAAUGCGCUUUCUAAAUGUUGGAUUAAACAAAUCACUCGAACAUAAGUGGAUGGAAGGAAACGUGUUAGAUAAGGAAAAAAUCACUAAGCUCAAAUUUCUACUCUUGAUAGAGGGAGGUAAUUUAUGAGCUUAAGAAGGGUCAUCUCCAAUUUAAAAUUGCAACAAGGCUUUAAAAUAUGGGUCUAUUGAUUUUUUUUUUUACUUUUGUAAGAGUUUAAAACAUUUAGUGGCAAUGUUUAGAACUCAAUUUGAAAAACAUUUAGUGGAAAAGAAUAGAAUUAAACCAUGUGAAUACUUUUCUAAAUAUUUUAAAUACUAUAACUGGCACUCUAUUUUGUUUUUAAUACAUCAAGAUUGAUUUGUGAGAACUAAGGUAUUUUUUUUAUGCAUCCGAAAUUCUGGUGCCCUCUAGCGGCAGAAACCUACUAUUAAAAUCUGAAGUUUGCUUUGAAAAUGCUAAACUAUACUUGAUACAGUUUAAUUGUAUGCAUAUUCCACAUUUCAUUUCGAGAAAAUUAAACUUGCAAAUGAUGGUAAGGAAGUGAUAAUUUGGAUUAAUAUAAAGUACUAGAAACAUUGUUGGAACACUUGAUGAAUAGUUAGUUUAUUUAAAAAAAGAGUGGGCUACAAUUCUCAAAAGCUAUUACAUUAAGGGACACAGUUCAACUGAAUGCCAUGGAAAUUUUUUUCUAAGAAGCUAAUGGUAUGAAAUCAAGAGGACAUCAAGAGCACACAAACUGAAGUGAUAAUUUACAUAGCUUCUUUCAUCUGUAGAUUUUAGAUAAUCAGGAAAUAUUGCCCUUGGGAAGGGGAGCCUGCUAUAUUCAAAGAUAAGUAAAUGCCAUGGUAUUUGCCCUGGUCCCAGAAAUCAGAUUAUAGAGGUACAAAGUAUAAGAUAACUGGUCAGUUUUCUUUUUGAAAACUCAAGGCAGAAUUAUCCAGUUGAACACGUUACCUGACCUAGGCUCUAAGUAACAAGAGCAACAAAAAAAUAAAAAUAAAUAAAAAAAUUUUAAAAAAUGGAAAAAGGAAAGACCUACACUCUUUGGCCAGAAGUCAUCUGUGGGAGGGAGUUUCCUGCAACAUUUAAAAUGUGCUUGCUUGUUAUCACCCUAGCUGGUGGGCUCAAGAUAUAGCGUCUGGGGACCUGAGUUUGGAUACUUGCUGUGACUCAGCCAGACAGAUACACCCUCUGGCAAACAGGAAAUUUUUCCUCAAGAAAAUCUUUCUCUUGGAAUUCUCGAACUCUUCGCAUUUUUCUUCUAAUUUUCUUUUCACCUUGGCUCCACUCUCAGUUGCCUCUAAUUCAAUAGUUUCUAGUUCCCUGAAUUAGGGACCCAUACAUAAUAUAACCUCAGAAGCUCAUUUCAAGAGUUCCAGAGAAUCUUAAGUGUUACGUAAGCCACAGGAACCUUGCUUGUGUCGCGGUUAUUAAACUAGCGUGUCUCAUUCACUUAAAGCAAGGCAAUGGCGUUUCGGGGACAAAGCUCUUUUUUUUCAGUGUACAUUGUUGCCUUUUCUUUCAUUGGAAAUUAUAUUCCUUUUGCAAUCCCUGCAACCUCUGGCCCAGCCUCUCUUUUCACUGGCAUUGCUGAGACCGCGCUUGGGCUUCCCAUCUGGGCUCAGGGUUCCUAUCUCAGCUCUGAGCUGAAACUAUAGUGAAGAGGCCCCAGUACUUGGAUUCUGGCCUAAGCCUUGUUCUCCUAGGUUCUUUGUCACCGAGAGGCUGUCUCCCUCUGGUGUCCACAAAACCAUCUCCACUCAGUCCUGAUUUAAGUGCUUUUAUAGUGAGUUGGGGGGUCCAGCUCUUUCAUUCAGCUAUUUCUGGGUUCCUUUCUUCUUAGACUACUUCCCAUCCAUCUAGGAAUGAUAAAGCCAUUACUUGCAUUCGUAUAUACGCAUUGUUUCAUUGAUUUUGCAGCACCCUUAUAGGAUACGUUAUGAUGAUACCAUUUUACAGCUGCAGCUCAGGAACAUUUAAUGAUCUGUUGGCAAAUGGCAGAGCCCAGAUAAGAAUCCACAUUGCCAACAUUGGUCCAACAUUCUCUCCACUGAAUUACUAUCUCUCUUUUAUCUUAUCUCUUUUUUUCUUUUUCCAAAUAUCUAUCUGCCUGCAGCAAUUUUUCAAGAUAAAAUUGUUUCGUGUUUAUUAUUUGAGUAUUUUACAUGAAAUAUCCUGCUUAAUCCUCACAACUUCAUGAGGGAGGUAUUACUAUGAACCUUGUGUUACAAACAAGGAACUGAACGAAGCUCUGUGUCCUUAGUCACACCCCAGGUAUUUGGCACUGUGAAGAUCUGAUGAUCCCAAGGAGGCUGACUCUGAAUUCGUGGUGUCACCUACAGUGCUACGUGGGCUUCUUUUGUUUAAAGUCCUUCCCUGGUCCUGUCGUCUUCCUUUCAUCACCAAAACCACAUUCACUCUCUCUACUUUCCUAACAACUACUCACUCUUCAACUCCCUGUAUUUUGGCUUUCGAUAUAGAAAUAUUUUUUAAAGUUCAGCAGUUGCCAGUCUUCUGAUGCAACUCCCCCCCCAUUAAUUUUCUUUUACUUCUUGGCAUCUUUUGAGUUUCCUCUCUUUUUGUGAAGCUCUUUCUUUCUUUUUUUUUUUUUGUGACACUUCAAGCUCCUAAUUGCACUAUAGCUCCUCCAUUACUUCUCUGAGUCAUUUAUUCAGGCAUUCAUUUAUUUGGUAUGUCUAUGUGACUCUGUGUGCGUGUGUGUGUGUGUGUGUGUGUGCGCGUGUGUAUGUGUGUGCGUGCGUGUGUGUGUGUGUGUGUGUGUGUGAGAGACAGAGAGAGAGAGAAGAUGAGAGGCACUGUACUAGUCAUUGGGGUUGAAAAAAGAGUUCUUUAGUGCUUUUAUGUCUUAUUUAUUAACCUGAAUCCUUACUACAUGGAUGUGUUUACUUUGUGAACAUUCGCCAAGUCCUAUACUAUGAUUUGGGUACUUUAUGUUAGUCUUCAAUAAAGCAUUUCAAAAUGAAUAAGUGUAAUGUAAUGUGUAAUGAAAUGAGGAGUUUAGGGUCUAGUGUGGGAAAAAUAAACAGUUGGUUACAGUGUAAUUGUGAUGUCAUAUAUACUGAGAAGGGUCAUGGUACUUGGGGUCCUGUGAACUUACAGUCUGAUUCGUGAGCACUGAGGAAGUGAUGCCGGAGUUGAAAGCUUAAAAAAUGGUUAAGAAGGUCAAAGAGUUUGAAGAAGACUUAAUUAAGAAUGGUAAUUGAAAGACAAAACAAUGAAGCUCAACGAAAUGGACAAGAAAAGUAUCAAAAAUCCAGUGAAGCUCAACAAAAUGGACAAGAAAAGUAUCAAAAAUCCAGUAAAAAGAAAAAUCAGCACAGACAAGCAAUUCUCAAAAGAUGAAAUACCAAUAAAUAGUUAUUAUUGAA
Non-coding RNA from Microcebus murinus (gray mouse lemur), 4848 nucleotides. NCBI's taxonomy places the organism in Eukaryota, Metazoa, Chordata, Mammalia, Primates, Cheirogaleidae. The record is from RefSeq and is a predicted model, not a curated record.